Molecule: long non-coding RNA, 3283 nt
Organism: Populus nigra (black poplar)
Lineage: Eukaryota; Viridiplantae; Streptophyta; Magnoliopsida; Malpighiales; Salicaceae
Exons: 2
Source: RefSeq, a predicted model, not a curated record
AUAUGUGAAAAUAUGAAAAUUAAUAAUCACCACCCACUCAUUUUUUCUUAUAAACCCCAGCUGUUACAAUCUCAUCUUCCUCCUCUAUCUUUAAUGACCAAACCAGCGUAAAAAACUGACCCUACACUCACCAAUCACCAUUGUCGCCUUCAUCCUCGAACAGAAACCAGAUUCAAUUGAGGAUGCUUGGAACAGGAUUCAGGAUUUGAGAAGAAGCAACCAGCCUCUCAACAUUUAUUGUUACGAUGCUUUCAUUCAGGGGUCGUGCCAAGAAGAUAGACCAGAUGAGGCUUUCUUAUAAAACUGGUGAUUUUUUGUAUUUUUAAACUUCAUGUCUUUUUAGUAAUAUUCAAAAAAAUAAUUGCAAAGUGAAAAAAAAUAUCUAAUUACAUAAUAUCAGAAUAAUUUUCACUAAUAAUAAUGUCUGCAUAGAAAAGUCAGCAAACAAAUAAUAAUUUCAUAAAAUGUUAAUGACGGUGUUUUCUAUUUUUGGUGUUAGAUUAAAACUACAAAUCUAAAUUUGGAAAGCAGCACGAUAGAAAAAUUAGUAACUAAUUAAGUCUUCAGUCCAAGCUACAACAUGAGUUUGAUCCCUUUUUUUAAUUUUAAAAAAUAUUUAGAUAUUAUUAAUAUUUUUUUAGUAGAAAAAAUUUAAAUUGGGUGGGGAUUGAUCUAAUGUAACUUGUUUAACUUAAUGGGUUCAAAAACAACUCGAUGACCAGUACAAAUAUAGUUUAACUUAAAAUAAAUAUUUAAUAUAAGAUUUUUAUAAAUAUUGAGAUGAAAAUAUAUUGAAUCGAUUUGGAUCAAUUUGGAUUAAUUUGUCAAUCUGCAUGCCAAAUAAUGAAAUCAUAAUAGAAAGGUUGUCAAUUUUGUUCCGGUAAGUGUUUUGUUUUUCAAUUAAAACGGAAUGUUUCGGUUUUGAAGCGUUUUAAAAUGUUGUUUUGGGAUUGUAUUGUGUGUGUGUGUGUGUGUAUUAAUUUAACAAUCAUAAUUCUAAUUCAAGAUAAAUUAACUUUAAAUUAUGCAAUAUAAAUACAAUGUCAAACAAAUAUAAUUUCAAAUUUUAAAACAUUCUUAAAUAGUCAAGAUUAAAUAAAAUUUUAAUUUAAAGUAAUUUAACUUAAACAAAAUAUCAAAAUAUUGUGAAAGUAAAAUAUUUUAACACAAAAGAAACAUAAAUUAAACAUUAUCUCCAUCGUUAACAUAGAAAUAAGGAUCUUGAUCUUAUGGUGGUAUGUAAGGAAAGUCACCAACUAGACAUUCCAAUAGUUGGUCAUUUCCACGAAGCUCAUUCUCGUCAUCAAAACAUGUCUCUUCAUCCUUUAAAAUCAAAGUAAAUAAAGAUGCUUCAAUAGUCUCUUAACUUAUAUCAUCUCCACCAGGAAGGUUAGAUUCUUCACAAAUCCACUCAUUUAAUAGGUCAAAGUUAUCAAGACUAAUAGGAUCUAAAGCAUUCCUUAUUUUACUCAAAUUCCUACAAAGUAUAAACAUGAAAAAAAAAAAACAAUAUGAAUAUAAACCAUAUAUAUUAGUGAUAAAUUUAAUUUUUAAAAAUAAUAUCAAUGUUAAUGAAAAUAGUAAUAAUUAUUUUCAAUAUUAUAUUAAUAUGAUAAUAUUGAUAUUUUAUCUUUAUUGAAUCCUUAAAUUAUAACGAAUAAAUACCAGAUCACUUAGUUUCUUAUGCUCUAGCUUAUUUUGCCUUUUAGAAUGGAUGAAUUUAAAUAUACUCUAAUUUCUUUCACACCUAAUUGCACUAUAACAUUGACUAAGAACUCGAAUUGCAAAUUUUUAAAGUUCUUAAGUAUCAUUACCAAAUCGCUCCUACCAUGCAACUAGAUAAGAAAAAAGUUUAGUAAAUUAGAUAUUAUAGAUACUAAACAAUAUUAUAUUUAAAAAAAUACAAAGUUAUUACCUAGAUUUAACUUUUCUCUUUGACAAAUAGCUAAGGGCAUGCCAAAAUCACCAAUUGCUUUCUUAUACUCCUUAAGUUGGCCAAUAAUUACAUCCCGAGUCACAAGCAAGGACCAAUGUAGUAAUUGUGCUAAGCAAACCUCAAGUAACCUCCUUUUGUUUUGAAAAAAAAGGCUUAAAAUAGAUUAUAAGAUUAAGAAAACAACUUGCUGCAUGUAAUGGACUAUAAAGUUACUUAUCUCAUCUAGCAUUAAUUAUCCAGAUAUAUAGUCCAUAUUGAGAUACUUUAUUUUCAACUUUGUCUUGAUGGUUUCUUUUCUUUUAUCCAUUGCCUUAUAUAAAUAACUCAUUGCUGAUUUUUCUUCACUAUCUAUUAACCAAAGAACUCUCACCAAAGGUUUUCACUAACUUUGACUAUAUGUUCACAUCGAAAGGCCAAAAGUCUUUAUCUUGUAAAAUUAUGGCAACUAUUUCUUUUCUAACUUUACUUUUAUCAUGACUUGAUUCUACUCGUUCCGUGCAAGUAAACAUUUGUCAAAGUUAUAUCUUAAACUUAAGUAAACAUUGGAUGCUUAAAAAAUACAUAACAAACCUCGUAAUGUCAAGACGACAUAAAUCAUUUUCAUUAGUAAAGUCUUUCCUCAUCAAAGCUAAAACUCAUGCAUGAUUAUUUAUAAAUUUAGUUAUGUUUCUUGCCUUCGUAAUGGUUUCAUCAAUCAUCAUAAAAUAUCUUGGAUCAGAAAUAUAUUCUAACAUCGAAUCAAUAUAAUAAGCAACACAAAAAGACAAAAAAAAAGCGUCAUAGCUUUGUUGUAAAGCCUUCCCAGCAACCUUAAAUGCAAGCUCAUUGUCACUAACAAAUUGGAUAAUAUUUUCUUAUCUCACUUCUUUGACAACUUCAUCAAACAUUUCAAGCAAUAUCUCUUUAUCUUUUCAAAAACCCAAAAUGUCAUUGGACUUAAAGAAUACGGUACCUCUUGGAGAAUAAGCAAGAAAAUUCAUAAUUGGUACAUUCCUUCUAUUUGACCACCUAUCUACUAUAAAUAGAAAUUCAUAAAGUUUCCAAUCAGCUUUGAUUCCAAAGAGGUAUUCAUAGGCAUCAUGAACUAUACCUUUUAAAAACGAUCUUUUUAAAUCAAUAUAUGAUGGUCCUUUAAAACCAAGUCUCAUUGAUGCUAUGACAUUUAUCAUUGGUUGAAAAUGGUAUGAUUCAGCACCAUUAAAUGGUACAUUAACAUCAUAUCACCAUCUUGCCAUGACUUUCAUUGUAUAAUAUUAAUUCUCUUUAGAAGCCAUUGCACUUUUAAUACUAGGUUGUAAACCCAGGGUAGUUCGUGGAAUGAAUAAAGUCGUCUUUUUUUUAGUUGCA